RNAcentral lists this ribosomal RNA (405 nucleotides) under uncultured bacterium. Its description in RNAcentral is "partial 16S ribosomal RNA". It matches the Rfam family "Bacterial small subunit ribosomal RNA", at positions 28 to 526 of the family's 1533-position model. The record is from RNAcentral.
GAUGAACGCUGGCGGCGUGCCUAAUACAUGCAAGUCGAGCGAAGCGGGGACGGGUGAGUAACACGUGGAUAACCUCCUAUAAGACUGGGAUAACUUCGGGAAACCGGAGCUAAACCGGAUCCUUAUCGAUGGAUCUGUGCUGCAUUAGCUAGUUGGUAAGGUAACGGCUUACCAAGGCAACGAUGGAUAGCCGACCUGAGAGGGUGAUCGGCCACACUGGAACUGAGACACGGUCCAGACUCCAACGGGAGGCAGAAGUAGGGAAUUUUCCGAAAUGGGCGAAAGCCUGACGGAGCAACGCCGUGUGAGUGAAGAAGGUCUUCGGAUCGUAAAACUCUGUUAUUAGGGAAGCGGUACCUAACCAGAAAGCCACGGCUAACUACGUGCCAGCCGCCGCGGUAAUAC